RNAcentral lists this long non-coding RNA (1409 nucleotides) under Gallus gallus (chicken). RNAcentral's name for it is "lncRNA (ENSGALG00010005079.1)". Lineage: Eukaryota; Metazoa; Chordata; Aves; Galliformes; Phasianidae. The record is from RNAcentral.
UAUGAAGAUGAGCAUGAAUGCAUAGGAUAUGCAGUUCUUCCAAAUAUGGAUAUUAAAGAUGCAUAAUGAUUUUUUUCAUUAUUCUGCCAAGUAUCAUAUGCAGUGAAGUUAAGACACAUCAUUCCCUGGAAGUGACUACCAUAGUAUCUGCUGUUGUGUUUAUUUAUUUUUUAACCAAUUCACAUCCUGGUGGUAUUUGUUAGGUAUACAAAGACUGAAAAACUACUGCGAUGGCCUCAUGCCUUGUUUUUCUCCUUUAGAAGAUGUUUUUUCUCCUUUAGAUGAUUUUUUUCUCCUUUAGAAGAGUGUACUUCCUUUCUCAUUGGUGAAACAUCUAUUAAUAGUAAUUCUCAUCUUCCCUGAGAACCCUCAUCUGUAUAAUGUGCUAGUUUUUACCCAGGAACACUGCAUUAUAAAGCAUUUAAAGGGUUUUAUCCUACAGAACUCUGCUAAGCAGAUCCCUGAAGAGGCCAGACAGCUCUCCUGAAAUCCAUGGUUGUGAGCAAGCAUCCUCCUUUUGCCCUAAGUAUGUUGAACUCCACAAUUUCAUGGUCACUGCACCAAGACUGCCUUUGACCUUUACAUUCCCACCAGCAUCACCUUGUUGAUAAGAAAGAGGUCCAGCACAGCCUCUUUCCUCAGCUUCUCUAUCACCUGGAGAAGGAAGUUAUCAUCGUAUUGUAUGGUACCUGCUUACCAGCAGGUUGGACUUGAUGAUCUCUUGAGGUUCCUUUCGAUCUCUGUGAUUCUGUGGUUCUGUGAUUCUGCAACACACUCUAGGAACCUCCUGGAUUGCUCAUGCCUUGCUUUGUUGCCUCUCCAACAGAUAUUGGGGUGGUUGAAUUCCCACAUGAAGACCAGGGACUGUGAAUACAAAUCUGUUCCUCAGUCCAGCACAGCAUGACUACCUCUGCCCCAUCACUGAUUGCUGGUGGACCAACCCUUUCUCACCCUGCAGCUACCAGACAGGCUGAAAUACUCCUGAGGUGGACCUUGAAUUCCCAUGUAAAUUAGGUUGGCUCCUGACAGCAGGAGGUAGCUAAAAAGUUAUGAAGACACCUAAUCCCCUACUUCCUGUCUCAAAACACCUUGGAGCUUCCCCACUCCCACAGCACCUCUCUGGGCCUCCUGAGGCUGACAGUAGCUUCUAUUGGAACCUUUCUGACCCUUCUCAGGAACAGUAUCCAGGGACCAGUUGAAUCAGCACUGCAGAACAUCUUUUUGUUGUUACUGCAGGCAAAAAUUAUUUAGCCCUUCACAUUUGGUUCUGCCUCUGAGAAGCUCUGAGUGAGCUCUAGGCCACUGUGUAAACUCUACUGGCACCUCUGUGUUUCUUAAUGAGUCUUAAACAUACCCAUGCCUAGGGCUAUACCUGGUGAAUACUCUGGCUGACAGAUCUCUAAUUUGUC